Molecule: ribosomal RNA, 496 nt
Filed under: uncultured bacterium
Lineage: Bacteria
Description: partial 16S ribosomal RNA
Rfam family: Bacterial small subunit ribosomal RNA
Source: RNAcentral
GAUGAACGCUGGCGGCGUGCCUAAUACAUGCAAGUCGAGCGAACAGACGAGGAGCUUGCUCCUCUGACGUUAGCGGCGGACGGGUGAGUAACACGUGGAUAACCUACCUAUAAGACUGGGAUAACUUCGGGAAACCGGAGCUAAUACCGGAUAAUAUAUUGAACCGCAUGGUUCAAUAGUGAAAGACGGUUUUGCUGUCACUUAUAGAUGGAUCCGCGCCGCAUUAGCUAGUUGGUAAGGUAACGGCUUACCAAGGCGACGAUGCGUAGCCGACCUGAGAGGGUGAUCGGCCACACUGGAACUGAGACACGGUCCAGACUCCUACGGGAGGCAGCAGUAGGGAAUCUUCCGCAAUGGGCGAAAGCCUGACGGAGCAACGCCGCGUGAGUGAUGAAGGUCUUCGGAUCGUAAAACGCUGUUAUUAGGGAAGAACAAAUGUGUAAGUAACUAUGCACGUCUUGACGGUACCGAAUCAGAAAGCCACGGCUAACUACGU